GUCCGUAUUAGGAAUUAACGCAUUAAUGUCCGUAUUAGGAUUUAACGCAUUAAUGUCCGUAUUACGAAUUACCUGCACACAGCAUGGCGGGGGUUAAAGUAAUAAAAAUAAAUAAAAAUGGCUUUUAGUUACCUGCUGGCUCCUGCACUUCCAAUAAAUGGAUUCCCAGAUAAAAUGAUUGGUGUCAAGGAGGACUACAAAUCCCAUCAUGCACUGCCAGCCUGGCGGGGGAUGCUGUGGGUUGCCAGGGAACCCACAGUGAUCAUGACGGAAGCCGGGAGGUGACUCACAU
This is a non-coding RNA of Pelobates cultripes (western spadefoot toad), 292 nucleotides long. NCBI's taxonomy places the organism in Eukaryota, Metazoa, Chordata, Amphibia, Anura, Pelobatidae. The record is from the annotation of a GenBank genome assembly.